UGAUACGACACAGGGCCCAGGCCAGCUGGAGCCAGAGCUGGGGACUUCGCUGGAGAGAUGGCACCGGCCUGAGGUCAAGGAGAAAUUGAACUAAACUCUCCUUUGAAGACUAGGCCCGUUCCCGAAGCCGGAGUCCCGACCCGAAACCGUCCCCGGCCGGCUCGCUCGCUCAGCAGGGCGCGGCUCCAGCGCCACCCGGCUCGCCCCGAAGAGUUCGCAGAUUUCCGCCCACCUUCCGCCUCGUCUAGCCGCGCCACAGCUAGCGGGGUGAUCUUUCCCCCCCUCUGGUAGGAGUUGGUGAAGAUUUCUACCGCAAAGAGAUCGAAGUGGACUCUUCCCCCUCCGUGCUGGAAAUUCUGGACACCGCAGGAACUGAGCAGUUUGCCUCCAUGAGAGAUCUCUACAUCAAAAACGGCCAAGGUUUCAUCCUGGUUUAUAGCCUGGUUAAUCAACAGUCUUUUCAGGUGUGAUUUCAUUUUGGAUUCAGCUUUGUAUACUCACUGAGGAUAUCAAGCCAAUGAGAGAUCAAAUUGUCAGAGUGAAGAGAUAUGAAAAAGUCCCACUAAUCCUAGUAGGAAAUAAAGUGGAUCUGGAACCAGAAAGAGAGGUUAUGUCUUCAGAAGGCAGAGCUCUGGCUCAAGAAUGGGGCUGUCCUUUCAUGGAGACAUCGGCAAAAAGUAAAUCAAUGGUGGAUGAACUUUUUGCUGAGAUCGUCAGGCAAAUGAACUAUUCAUCCCUGCCGGAGAAGCAAGAUCAGUGUUGUACAACUUGUGUCGUCCAGUAAAGAAGAUAACCUCAAUCAUGGCCAUACCGAGCAGAUAAAACUCAGAGGAAAUUUGCACAGAUGCUGCUUUGGAGAACUUUACAACCUGGGUUGCAGAACUGAGCCUUGGUAAACCUGUCUCUAUUACAGCAUGUUGCCAUACAUCUAUUUAAGUGCAUAAGGUCUUUGGCCUUCAAGAUCCAUCGACCUUAAACAGGAAUGCUUAGCACGUUUACCAUACGUUUAAAAUCCAUUCUUUAUCAAUCAGUCCUUUUAUAGCUUUCUAAGUUCUUAUUGAUGGCUAAUAUACAAGGGUUAAUUUUUAAUAUUUUAAUUGAUUUCUUUAAUCAGUUUCUCGACUUGUAUUUAUUAAAUACUCAAACUCAGUAUUACCUACUCAAUGCCUUUUAAAAGAAAGUUAUAAUGGAGAAAAAAUUGAGCCUUAAACAAAUGGUUACUUCUGUAUAUUACCUCGUACCAGUGCUUCAUCCUAUUUGUAAAAUCUUUCUCCUUUAAAAUUAUUGGUUAAUACUUUGAGACUUUGUUUACGUGUGGCAGUGUUGUAAAAAGAAACUAAAGAUCACAUUUUACCUGUAUGGAUGGAAUAUCCCUUUUCUUCAAGUGCAGUUUGUGAUGUGUUUUGUUUUUUUUUUUUUUUUUUUGUAAUUAACAUGUUCUGAAGGUUACAAUUGAUAUUUGAAAUUGACUGUAGAGCAUUUAGUUGAAGAGUUAAGCAUUCAGUUCCAUUAGGUUUUCACAUGUGUUAAUCUCAUUUACAGCAUUGAAUUGCGGCAGUAACAUUUUCCUUUCUGUGAAGUUCUAAAUUUAGUUAUGACCUAUUUAGCAAUGCCUUUGAAAAGGGAUAUUGUAUCCAUGGUAAAUUAAUUGUAUACCUAAACAGAGAUAGCUCAUCUUUGCCUAUCAGGCUUGUAAUUGACAUCUAGUAGACUUCUGCACAUGUAAAAUUGAAUUCAAAUAAAAUCAUACACACUUUCUAGUUCUUAAUAUUUGUCUUUCUGAAUAAUAGUUUAAAGCAAUAUUUGUUAAAGUUUUCUUGCACUAUCACAAUUGCUUUUUAGUUAUUUCUCAAGAAGCAUGUUCGUAUUAGAGACAAAAUCUGUGUAACAGGAGGGAGAAUAGCGCCAAGUCUCUGGGCUAUUUUUUAUUUUUGCAAAUGUGCUUUCUAAUAGCCAUUGCCUUCCAUGUUGUUUACCUAAUCAGCAUAUUUUUGUCUGAAUACUUGAACAUUUUAACAGUAACGCAGGUGUAGAAUCAGAAAGGAAACUUAUGCAGAGUAAUAUUUUGGUUCAGUUUUAACAUCGUGACAAUGAGGGCUUUUUCUAGCAAUGAUUUUUAAAUUGUGUAAGUUUGACAGUAUUUUAUUGUUGGGUUUUUAUUUGAUUUUAGUUGUGUGCUUUUCAUUUGCAGAAGUUAGUAACUGCAGCUCACCUACUGCACCAAAGUUCUCGAUUUUAGGAGCCCAGCUUUAGUCAUUUGAACAUGCUUCUAAAUAAAAUAAAACAAAACCAAAACUAUACUUUUGAUCUAUAAUAAGAGCUCAAUAACUUUGUCAAGGAAAGCUCUAAUAUAUGCAGUGAUGGUUUAUGAAAGGGUGUGGCAAUUUUAAAUUUAUAUUGUGUGUGAUGUUCAAAUAAAGUGGUAUCUACAUUCAUGUGAUUUAUGGGUCAGCAUGACCAUUAAUUACUGAGUAGAAAUUGACUAAACUUUGAUUUCCUUUUUUUAAAUCGUGUUGCAUUUGAUUCCUGAGCAAAUUCCCUCAAAGUGAACUCUUGUUCUUAAAUUUUGAAUUUUAUGGUGAGAUUGUAAAGAUAGAGGCAAUUGAAACAUUGUUCCUUAUUUAUGAACUGCUUGAAGUGAAUACUUAAUUUAAGUUUGCACUUUAAUACCAAACUUAAAACCAAACACUCAUUUAAAAGUAGGUUAAGUGAUCAUGGAUCAUUGUUAUUAGCUUUGUGGCUUUGUGAAAUUCUAAAGGAAUCAAAUAAUUCAUCAUGAUUUAAAUUUUCUAGAGAUUUUGAUUUUUUUAUAAUGUUUCUUUCCUGUAGAUUGUGUUCUUGUUUCUCUCUCUCUCUCUCUCUCUCUCUCUCUCUCUCUCUCUCUCUCUCUCUCUCUCUCAAAAUUACAGUGUUCAUUGUCAUUGACCUCAGCAGCAAAUUUGACUUGAAUUCACUUAGGAUCGCAGGAAUCAGGGGAAAGUGAUUUUAAAGGUGGUUUCUCCAGCACAUUUUAAGAAAAGGGACCAAAAGUUAUUUUAGCUUCCUCAAUAGAUUGCAUGUUGCUUAUUAGGAUAAUAAAUUAAUAUUAAAUGCAAUAUAUGUCUUGUCUUUAUUAUGGCAUCUAUUUAGGAGUUGUUCAAAUCACUGCAGUAGGGCUCUGCAAAUAAAAUAAUGUAACCUAUUAUCAUGGAUCUAAUGUACUGUAACUUUAUCAGUGAAAGGUAAAAUCUCAAAUAACAAGUACAAACAUUGAACAAUUACCUAUAAAGAUUUGUAAAAGUAAAAUUUUUCCAAUAGAUUUCAUUCUUGUCAUUUUGUAAGACGACCCUGCAGUCCACCUGUUUGUAACUUUUUUAAUAAAAUAGACAUCUGUAUUACUGAG
RNAcentral lists this long non-coding RNA (3382 nucleotides) under Homo sapiens (human). RNAcentral describes it as "non-protein coding lnc-RAP2C-2:1". The record is from RNAcentral. Lineage: Eukaryota; Metazoa; Chordata; Mammalia; Primates; Hominidae.